Molecule: ribosomal RNA, 515 nt
Filed under: uncultured bacterium
Lineage: Bacteria
Description: bacterial SSU rRNA
Rfam family: Bacterial small subunit ribosomal RNA
Source: RNAcentral
AGAGUUGAUCAUGGCUCAGGAUGAACGCUGGCGGUGUGCCUAAUACAUGCAAGUCGAUCGGGCGUAGCAAUACGUCAGAGGCGUACGGGUGAGUAACACGUAGGUAACCUACCUUUAAGACUGGGAUACCCAGACGAAAGUUUGGCUAAUACCGGAUAACAACAUUUGAGACAUCUCUUUUGUUUGAAAGGCGCUGCAAGGCGCCACUUUUAGAUGGACCUGCGUCGCAUUAGCUAGUUGGUGAGAUAAAAGCCCACCAAGGCUGGGAUGCGUAGCCGAUCUGAGAGGAUGACCGGCCACAAUGGGACUGAGACACGGCCCAUACUCCUACGGGAGGCAGCAGUAGGGAGUUUUCGGCAAUGGGGGAAACCCUGACCGAGCAACACCGCGUGAGUGAUGAAGGUCCUUCGGAUCGUAAAGCUCUGUUACGAGGGGCGAAUGAUCGCUUUAGGAAAUGAGAGCGAUUUGACGGUACCUCGCCAGAAAGCGACGGCUAACUACGUGCCAGCAGCUGC